Molecule: long non-coding RNA, 362 nt
Organism: Armigeres subalbatus
Lineage: Eukaryota; Metazoa; Arthropoda; Insecta; Diptera; Culicidae
Exons: 4
Source: RefSeq, a predicted model, not a curated record
GUCAUGACAAAGCAGAUUUGCAGAAAAUCACGAGAUAGUUGGAUUCGCGAAAUAGUUUAAUUUGUUAUAAAACUUUAAUUUGUAAUAUUAUUACCACGUACCCUUAAUAUUUCGGAUUCACUGCAAGCAAGAACUUAGAUUGUGCUCAAUUCUAUUUGGUAUAGACCUACAAAACCCUUGUUAAACAGUAACUAGGCAAUCAGUGGAUCAAUUUGAAGGUGCACUAAUUAACUUGAAGCAAAUAAAACUUGGCUAUCAAGACGGUGCGGCGUGUAGUUACGAACUAACAACCUUCAAGUUAAUUAUGGCCACUGAAAGACCUAGCGGAUCUUCCACAGUUCUUGAGCAGUCCGAAAUCUUCG